Molecule: ribosomal RNA, 253 nt
Filed under: uncultured bacterium
Lineage: Bacteria
Description: partial 16S ribosomal RNA
Rfam family: Bacterial small subunit ribosomal RNA
Source: RNAcentral
UACGUAGGGUGCGAGCGUUGUCCGGAAUUAUUGGGCGUAAAGAGCUCGUAGGCGGUUUGUCGCGUCGGCCGUGAAAACUUGGGGCUUAACUCCAAGCUUGCGGUCGAUACGGGCAGACUUGAGUUCGGCAGGGGAGACUGGAAUUCCUGGUGUAGCGGUGAAAUGCGCAGAUAUCAGGAAGAACACCAAUGGCGAAGGCAGCUCUCUGGGACGGUACUGACGCUGAGACGCGAAAGCGUGGGGAGCGAACAGG